UUAGAGAUAAUCCUCCCUGCUGCCUCAGCUUCUAUUCCCCAGCUUUACACAGAUAACAUUAGUUACUGUCCUUUUAUUGCUCCAUUGUUCCAUUUUGUAUACUCGGAGAACUAUCUGCAUUAAAUAAUCUAGGUAUAUAAAACGGGAUUAAGGACAGAAUUGAAAGAAUCAACCAGAAUCACACGCUAAAUAAUCAAGGAAACAGGAAAAUGCAUCACUAUAAUCAUGACAGGAAUUGGUGGCAAUUAACAUCCGACACCACAGAACUAUCUAGGAGAAUGAAGACAGAUGGACUUGACUGGCCUGUGGAUGGGAGAUAUCUCACAAUAACUGGAAGUCCAAUGGAUAAGGAUUCAGGACACAAGCAGCUGGUGAUGGGCUCAAUGAAGUCUGAGUGAAGGUGGUAUUUCAGCCGGUUUCACCACUAACAGAAGGAGAUGCAGCUCUGUUGUUUCUAGUUUCUGUGGAAACACAAGCUCUGAUUAAAGCAUUUCAAAUGAUCUUUCCCUUUAAUCUGCAGCKAUGAGUUGGUGACAGAUUUUUGCUG
RNAcentral lists this long non-coding RNA (547 nucleotides) under Dromaius novaehollandiae (emu). RNAcentral describes it as "lncRNA (ENSDNVG00000011176.1)". The record is from RNAcentral. Lineage: Eukaryota; Metazoa; Chordata; Aves; Casuariiformes; Dromaiidae.